Molecule: ribosomal RNA, 253 nt
Filed under: uncultured bacterium
Lineage: Bacteria
Description: partial 16S ribosomal RNA
Rfam family: Bacterial small subunit ribosomal RNA
Source: RNAcentral
UACGGGGGGGGCAAGCGUUGUUCGGAAUUACUGGGCGUAAAGGGCGCGUAGGCGGCCUUCUAAGUCAGACGUGAAAUCCCUCGGCUCAACCGAGGAACUGCGUCUGAUACUGGAAGGCUUGAAUCCGGGAGAGGGAUGUGGAAUUCCAGGUGUAGCGGUGAAAUGCGUAGAUAUCUGGAGGAACACCGGUGGCGAAGGCGGCAUCCUGGACCAACACUGACGCUGAGGAGCGAAAGCCAGGGGAGCAAACGGG